AUGGGGAAGAAGAGGAAACAAGAUCAAUGGAGAGAUGACUCAAGCUCUUCUAAUGUCAAGCGGCGUAGGUCUUGCCACUGCGAGAAUGGGGAGACGAGCAGGCCAAAUGAUGGGAUAUCGCCUCGGGAGGGGUUAUCAGCUAUUGUUCGUGCGGUAACUGAAUUGAAAGACGUCAUGCAGCUUCAAUUGCGCAUGGAGGAAAAAUUCAACAAACGAAUUCAAAAGCUUAAGGAAAAGAGGAAAAAAGACAAGAAAAAGCAUGAAGAGGAUCUCAGAGUACUCAAGGAAGAGCUCGAAUCAAAAUUUGAAGACAUGCAAAAAGAAGUGUGUGGUGAAGUAAAUCAUUACAAGGCAUCUCCAUCUCAGAGAUCACAACUAAGCCAAUCAACAAGAUUUCGACUAGUAAUUGAAAAUAGCGUGAGCAGAACAAUUUACAAAAAGGAAACUAUAGAGACUGUCGAUGGUGGAGGUCACAUAAAAGUUGUCAUGUACGAUGGUGGCAAUCCAAUUGCGUCUGACCACCGUCUUGCUUCAGUAAGAGUUGAGCUAGUGGUCAUUGAAGGAGGGUUCGAUGAAAAGCGGGAUUCAUGGUCUAAAGAGGAGUUUGAGGAAAGGAUAAUAAAACCACGAAGAACAACCACAUUGACAAGUCUAGUGAAAAACGGUGCAUUUAAUCUGAUUGGUGGGAGUUGUGAUCAUGAAGGUGCCAUUAUUAUGGAUAAUUCACAGCAAAGGGAAGUUAAGCUUGGAGUAAGGAUCACAGUGCCUACAGAAACAAGAGUUCUUGAAGGAGUAUCAAAUCCUUUCAAAGUACAGGAAGGCAAGACAAAAAAGUCAGCACCAAACAAAACAGGCAAAAAACUUUCUCAUCCAGUUCCAACGCGAAACUUGGUACAGCCAACCAGCACCCACGCAGCACAACAUGACCGUGGAAAGCAUUCAGGAUUUCCGACUGAUGGUACUGCAGAGGAUAAUCGACUGAGUUAUCCACCAGCUACCGUGCCACCGAUAGUUGAGGGAAAUGGGCACGCCCUAAACUGCAACAGUCAGCAAUCUUCUCAACAAAUUCCAACGCCAAUCUUGUGGCAGCCAACGAGCACCCAUUCAAUGCAACAUGGAUAUUAUCCACCUUUGCCUGCUUUUGGACAAGACCAGUUCACUAGUUUACCUAAUGCAAGUUCUCAAGUUGCAUUUCCAAACCUUUCAGAGUAUGGGUCACUGGAUGGCCAGUGGAAUUCCAUCCCCAGAGGGGAAAUAUUCGUUGAAGAUGUAAAUCAUUCAAAUGUCCAGCUACCAGUUGAAGAGUAUUAUAUAGAUGCGUCAUUUACAUGUGGUCAAGUACUACUCCAAUGGUACAAGCCUCAAGUGGAGCUCAAGGAACACUGGAACUUUCUUGAUCAGCUCAUGCCUCUGUAUAGCACACAAUCAGGGUUUUAUAGAGAAAGUUUCCACAGUACGAGCCUCAUGGAGAAAGCCCAUAAGUUAAUGGGCAGUACAUCAGGCGAUUCUGUUAUGAAGAUAAUCACCAGUCUUCCAAGUCGAGCCACCCAAACUCCUCAGAGGAGAGGCGUUCUCGUUCAGCCCAUUGCGCCAUAUGAUUCACAUGAUGAGCCACCAGUUAAGAAGCAAAGAAAUGCCAAAUAUCAAUUGCGAUUUGUCAAUAGGGUGUGCAAUGAAUACUACACAUGGGAACAAAUUAAAUCAGAGGAUGGAAAUCUUUUAAAGGUAGCUUUGUAUGAUGAGAACAAUCUGGUAGUCACAUCUGGUCCACUGUCUGCAGCUUCUGUGGAGAUCGUACUACUUCAUGGCGAUUUCAAUGCCGAUGGUCAAGAUUAUUGGCCAUCAGAGGAGUUCAGAGCCUGCGUAGUGCAUCCACAAUCUGUAAAAGAACCACCAGCCUUGGGAGGUGAUGGUGUCUUGGCACUGACUGAUGGAGAGGCAGACAUUAGUAAUAUGUAUUUCCGGACUUCCUCUUUCCAUGCCAGAACUGGAAUGUUCAAGAUGGGUCUUGAGAUUAAAAAUGCAAGAGAAGAAAGUGUUCAAGAAGGAAUCACUAGACCAUUUCUUGUGAGAGUUUGCCAAGGGGAAGAAUCAAGCUGCCCCCUGAUCAGACCUUUCAAAUUGUUUGGUAUGGGAACAGAAGACGUCGGCGCAUCAUCGGCGUUGCAUUAUCAGUCGUUGCAGGUGAGAAGUGUGUUUUGGGCGUUGAUGGCAGAGCACCAUCACAGCACGGUCCGGAGGGCUUCAAAUCACUCUUCAGAACAUUACCUCUUGAAGUACGUCCGAGGGAUCGUUAAACUGAAGUGUUUAUUGAUGCGGAGAAGGGACCGUAAAAAACUCUACAUGCAGAAGAGUAAAGAUGCAGAUGAUUAUAACGCCGCAAUUGCCAAGAAGCUUAAGUACUCUUACAUGCAGAAGAAUAAAGACGCAGAUGACUCUGCCAGCGCAUUUGCCAAGGCGCCCUCCUCUCUGAGUGUGAGAGCACCACGUGUAUGA
RNAcentral lists this ribosomal RNA (2496 nucleotides) under Triticum aestivum (bread wheat). Its description in RNAcentral is "partial small subunit ribosomal RNA". Lineage: Eukaryota; Viridiplantae; Streptophyta; Magnoliopsida; Poales; Poaceae. The record is from RNAcentral.